AGAGUUUGAUCAUGGCUCAGCGCGAACGCUGUCGGCGUGCCUAACACAUGCAAGUCGUGGGGCAGCGGGCGGGCUCCUUCGGGAGCCCGUGCCGGCGACCGGCGAACGGGUGAGUAACGCGUGAGCAACCUACCCCGAGGAGGGGGAUAACCCGGGGAAACCCGGGCUAAUACCCCAUAAGCGCACGGCCUGCAUGGGCUGUGUGAAAAGGGUGGCCUCUGCUUUGCAAGCUGCCGCCUCGGGAUGGGCUCGCGUCCCAUCAGGUAGUUGGUGAGGUAACGGCUCACCAAGCCUACGACGGGUAGCCGGCCUGAGAGGGUGGCCGGCCACACCGGGACUGAGACACGGCCCGGACUCCUACGGGAGGCAGCAGUGGGGAAUCUUGGGCAAUGGGCGCAAGCCUGACCCAGCGACGCCGAGUGGAGGAAGAAGCCCUUCGGGGUGUAAACUCCUGUCGCCGGGGACGAUGCGGGUGGGGGUGAACAGCC
Molecule: ribosomal RNA, 488 nt
Filed under: bacterium enrichment culture clone BIG B-Brut-13
Lineage: Bacteria
Description: bacterial SSU rRNA
Rfam family: Bacterial small subunit ribosomal RNA
Source: RNAcentral